This 311-nucleotide ribosomal RNA is filed under the name Escherichia coli. RNAcentral's name for it is "partial 23S ribosomal RNA". It matches the Rfam family "Bacterial large subunit ribosomal RNA", at positions 419 to 732 of the family's 2925-position model. The record is from RNAcentral. Lineage: Bacteria; Pseudomonadati; Pseudomonadota; Gammaproteobacteria; Enterobacterales; Enterobacteriaceae.
GGGACACGUGGUAUCCUGUCUGAAUAUGGGGGGACCAUCCUCCAAGGCUAAAUACUCCUGACUGACCGAUAGUGAACCAGUACCGUGAGGGAAAGGCGAAAAGAACCCCGGCGAGGGGAGUGAAAAAGAACCUGAAACCGUGUACGUACAAGCAGUGGGAGCACGCUUAGGCGUGUGACUGCGUACCUUUUGUAUAAUGGGUCAGCGACUUAUAUUCUGUAGCAAGGUUAACCGAAUAGGGGAGCCGAAGGGAAACCGAGUCUUAACUGGGCGUUAAGUUGCAGGGUAUAGACCCGAAACCCGGUGAUCUA